Non-coding RNA from Pelobates cultripes (western spadefoot toad), 316 nucleotides. The record is from the annotation of a GenBank genome assembly. NCBI's taxonomy places the organism in Eukaryota, Metazoa, Chordata, Amphibia, Anura, Pelobatidae.
CUUAAAUCUGAAAAAUAUUCUUUGAAAGAUAUAUACCAUAAAUACUGUAGUGGAGCUGCAAUAUUAAAUCCCACGAUCUCCGCUGGUACAGAAGGUAAUCCACAGUCAAGCGCUGAAAAGUAAGGCAAUAUCCCAAAUCCCCCAGUAACCGGACGAAACACAGUUCUGGGAGUCAACUGAGGUUUUUAUUCACAGCUCCAGUAUUUAUGCAAGUCCCCAUGCAAGGGGUUUCACUACUGACAAAGCAGGGGUAAUACAGUAGGGAACUACAUGGGGGACUUAACAUUCUGAGCAUUUCUCCCAUCAGGCACUCAGG